This 67-nucleotide small RNA is filed under the name Lentibacillus persicus. Its description in RNAcentral is "Bacillaceae-1 RNA". It matches the Rfam family "Bacillaceae-1 RNA". The record is from RNAcentral. Lineage: Bacteria; Bacillati; Bacillota; Bacilli; Caryophanales; Bacillaceae.
CGGUAAGGUUCAAAGGCUAAGACCGCCACGUGCUGUGGAAACGCCUUUGUGACCAACAUCGUGUUGG